UUUGGCGGGACGAGACUCACUCGACGGUGGGAAGUGACGCCGUACUGUGGCGCCGUGCAGUGGUGAAACUAUUGUAACAACAGCGUUGGAACGCGGGAGUGCACAAGCCCCGCCACUACCCUUGCUUUCCCCUUCAAUGAGGGUGCACCCACCCCUCUGUGUUCCAUUCGAGAUUUAUUCGAACUGCUAUCGCAGUUGCACCAAUAAAUAUCGGUGCAGCGUUUGCGCUUGUACGAAUACCCAGUCCGCACACAUUGUUGAGGUUAUGUUUGUGUGGGAGUCAACGGAGUCGCGGCGGUGGGAUAUCGCCGAUAGAGAGAAUUAUUGGAAAUAUUGGUGAUUUCAACGGUCUGAUCGGAGAGACAGGGUCUUCAUGGUGAGCAUAUCAUAACUGGCCUGAUCGGAGAGACCGUCUUUAUGGGGAAGAUUAUUUCAUACGAAUUGUUGAAUAUCGCCGGAGGGAGCCACUGGGCAAAUCUCAGUUGUUGAUUGUGUCGAGUAUCGGAUCUACAGCAAUCAACAAGAUCGUAACCCUCAGCGUGAUCCCCCGGAGGAGUGAAUCUUGAGGACUUGGGUAAGAAAAGCGUAACAGUACGCUGGAGAAUAUAGCCGAAGGAUCACCUCAGAAGGAGAAGGGUUCGGGGCCCAUUACAAGCAUCAAAACUCCAUAUCAGCAGGUUCAAUCCGUCCCGACUCAUCAUCAAUAACCCAGUGUUUCACAAUUGCUAGUGGAGACCAGAGAUAGCACAACAUGAAGAGGGAGGAAUCAAGUGGAAUUAAUAAAGAAUUCAGUUUGAGAAUGUAUUUAGCCGGAAUAGAUUUGGCGGUCUUCGGCUUUGCAGUAUCGGGAUUCGAUUCAACGACACGUGACCUGAAGGGUUAUUACUGGGCUUAGGGAAUUCACCGUUGGGCGUGAACUGAGAACCCCUUGGUCAAAGUGGUGGCGAUAUAUCAGGGCGUUGGGUCAACAAUGUGUAAGCGGUCGUCCCAGGGUCUCUGGGCCGUCCCCCAAGUUCGCUCUCCGGUGACACUUUUGGAGUUUCUGCUCCUUGGACGUGGCGCACGUGCAGGAAGAGCACAUGGGAAAGAAAAUGCAGUGCCUUCAUCCUAAUCGUCCAUCCAAAGACACAUGGCCAAGAGUAUCGCCAGUCCAAAGCAGAAGGAAGGAAAGAGAAUGAAGAAACUACCACAGUAUAGAAUUAUCAAAAGAAUGACUCAUUAUAUGAACCUCUGGCUGCUAAAAUUCACAAGUUUUCUUCUCUAUCUCGCGCAUCCAGCAGAUUCUAUGCGUCAAAGCCCCGUCUCCAGAAGGACGAAGAGUAUAAAAAUUACCACCACGAUGGUUGACCUGUGGUUGAGAACCUGACCAUGUUCAGAGUUGAAUGAGAACAAAUUGCAAUUGGAUAUUCGGAUGCUGAAGAAGGCAUCUAGAGGUGUACGGUAUCAACAAGUUAUUGACGACCCGAGCUGUGCGGUGGCGAUACAUCGGAGAACAGGCAUAAAUUACGCCUCUGUUAGGUAUAGUUAUCACUAUCCUCCACCAGGGUCCUACCAUCCUCUCGCCCCCGAUGGUCAUUCCAACUUGCAAUAGGAAUAUCGAACGUAUAAGGAAUGUAACGAAGGAAAUAGAAGAGUUCUCCAGCCAUGAACAUGAUCAGGUUGUCCAGGGACAGCUACACGAAGGAGCUACACGCACUCCAGUGUCCGAUCAGUAGUGACCAAGAAAUUGCUUGCCAAUGGGAUUCACUUCUCCCCCCUCUGCCAUAUAUAUUGUGAACAGUAUCCGUAUAAGUAUCGUCUUCGCAUGGUUUCACGAGGUAUCCAUAAAUAUCUCAUUUUAUUUUGAAUGGGAAAACGAACGAGCCGAACCGAUGGCGAUCCGGUCUCGAGCUUCUCUAUCCUUUUUACCUGGACAACCGCCUAGUCCCAAUGGCAUUCAAAAUUCAUGAACCAAUGCGGGAGUGUAACAGAGAUAGAGGAAAACACGACCACCUCCUCGCGCGCUUCAGGUCUGCCACUAAAUCAGCGUUACUUUAUUAAGUAUUACCUUUAGUUAACAGAUACUUAAUCAAAAUGUGCACGCAGUACGCCACUAAUUUGACUUUGGCCCCCAUAAAUAUCCACCGCCCAUGUGUGGUUAGUGUGUGUGUGUGUGUGUAUACUCUUGGGCAAUGUCAAUGGAUAUAAAGAUGUCUGUGUGUGUUUCACAUUUGGUGAUGUGUUUGAAUAUGUCGAAUGGAAAUAUGUGAUGACUUGGGCCGAUAAAUGACUCUUGUAAUUAAAUUGGAAAUACGAAGGCGUUCAAAUACUUUGGAGCUUUACAUCUGUCGGGCCUCUGGCUUUAAAGCUUUACAGCGAUCUGAUGAUAAGCAGCAGUUAUUCCAUGGAAAUUCAAUGUUGCGUGGUUCACAUUUGGAACUUCAUCACAGCGAUUGUUGGAGCAGCUUCAGAUGUCUGUUCUGCCUCAUGAUUUAACAGGAUUAAAAAAAUGAAAACUCUUCAUAUACCCUGAGAAGUUGACCUUGACUUUUAUAGCUAUAUAAUGCUGUUAUCAUAAACAACAUCCAUUUCAUAGAUAAACAAUCACUCGCCACUACAAUAUCAAAACCUGAGUCCAACGAGCACUAACAGACUUCCGAUCCGAGAGUUUUUUAUUCUCAGCCCUUAAGUCUCGAUUUUUCCUCAGAUUUUCAAGGUGGAAAACACGGUAAAUUAGUUUGUCAAACAAUUGGCUGCUUUUAUACCCAGACUUUGCUCUUAAUUUUCUGACAUGCAGUUCGUUUUGUCGUUACACCCUGAGGUGGUUGCUUCUCCAAACGUACCAACCACCUCCCUUACCUCCAUCCAAAUGAUUUUCUCUCUUCAAGUACCACCUUUAUUCUCCCUUUAUUUUCUCUUUACUCUCGUUAGUCUUCUCGUUAUUGUACGUAGGGAGGCGGAAACAGUGGCAAAGCCACGAUGAGUGGGCUCGCGGUUCGGUAAACACUAAACACUCGUUAGCGCAUAGAUUGAAACGCAAUCUGUAUUUUGGAAACUGGGGCUACCUAACGCUCUUCGGUUGGAGUUUUCGGCUGCUGUGUGUGUGUGAGAGAGAGAGAGGGAGAGUGAAUGUGUAGGUAAAGGUAUAGAUAGGAUUCAGUGCUGGAGGUACAGGGAAACGGGACUUGACGGGAUAUAGGUGGAAACGGUGUAGGGUAGUUCCAGAAGCUCGGGAGUGCCCGGAGGGCCUGCCCCACUACUAAUUGAUUUGUGUUCGUGCUUCAGAAAUCUCCUUUCGCCACUGAAACACCAGGGGUAGGCAUUACUAGCAGUAUGCUUGGCCAACAAAUACCAAAGCUUCUCGAACUCUGUCCUUCAUCAAACUGGGCCUUUUCCAUUCACUGUUUGCCGGCUGGCGAGGAGACCUCAUAGACCAGCAGAGCUCUG
Molecule: long non-coding RNA, 3426 nt
Organism: Diachasmimorpha longicaudata
Lineage: Eukaryota; Metazoa; Arthropoda; Insecta; Hymenoptera; Braconidae
Exons: 8
Source: RefSeq, a predicted model, not a curated record